This 447-nucleotide ribosomal RNA is filed under the name uncultured bacterium. RNAcentral describes it as "bacterial SSU rRNA". It matches the Rfam family "Bacterial small subunit ribosomal RNA", at positions 355 to 825 of the family's 1533-position model. The record is from RNAcentral.
UCGGGAAUUUUGGGCAAUGGGGGAAACCCUGACCCAGCAACGCCGCGUGAAGGAUGAAGUAUUUCGGUAUGUAAACUUCGAAAGAAUAGGAAGAAUAAAUGACGGUACUAUUUAUAAGGUCCGGCUAACUACGUGCCAGCAGCCGCGGUAAUACGUAGGGACCAAGCGUUGUUCGGAUUUACUGGGCGUAAAGCGUGCGUAGGCGGCCCGCCAAGUCAGAUGUGAAAUCCCGGGGCUCAACCCCGGAACUGCAUCCGAUACUGCCUUACUUGAGGGUCGGAGGGGAGUCUGGAAUUCUCGGUGUAGCAGUGAAAUGCGUAGAUAUCGAGAGGAACACUAGUGGCGAAGGCGAGACUCUGGACGACAACUGACGCUGAGAGACGAAGGCCAGGGGAGCGAAAAGGAUUAGAUACCCACGUAGUCCCUGAGCGGGCUGGCAAGGCGCAU